RNAcentral lists this ribosomal RNA (253 nucleotides) under uncultured prokaryote. RNAcentral's name for it is "partial 16S ribosomal RNA". It matches the Rfam family "Bacterial small subunit ribosomal RNA", at positions 524 to 776 of the family's 1533-position model. The record is from RNAcentral.
UACAGAGGGUGCGAGCGUUGUUCGGAAUUAUUGGGCGUAAAGCGCAUGUAGGCGGUUUUUUAAGUCGCGUGUGAAAGCCCCAGGCUCAACCUGGGAAGUGCGCGCGAAACUGGAGGACUUGAGUGCUGGAGAGGGUGGCGGAAUUCCCGGUGUAGAGGUGAAAUUCGUAGAUAUCGGGAGGAACACCAGAGGCGAAGGCGGCCACCUGGACAGACACUGACGCUGAGACGCGAAAGCGUGGGGAGCAAACAGG